Molecule: non-coding RNA, 57 nt
Organism: Salmo salar (Atlantic salmon)
Lineage: Eukaryota; Metazoa; Chordata; Actinopteri; Salmoniformes; Salmonidae
Source: Rfam
GGCUCAGUUGGUAGAGCAUGGUGUUUGCAACGCCAGGGUUGUGGGUUCGAUUCCCAC